UUGGGAAUAUUGCGCAAUGGGGGAAACCCUGACGCAGCGACGCCGCGUGCGGGAUGAAGGUCUUCGGAUCGUAAACCGCUUUUCUAAAGGACGAUAAUGACGGUACUUUAGGAAUAAGCCCCGGCUAACUCCGUGCCAGCAGCCGCGGUAAGACGGAGGGGGCAAGCGUUGUCCGGAAUUACUGGGCGUAAAGCGCUCGUAGGCGGUUUGUUACGGUAGUGGUGAAAGCUCCUGGCUCAACUGGGAGAGGUCCACUACAACGGGCAGACUCGAGGUAUGUAGAGGCAAAUGGAAUUCCUGGUGUAGCGGUGAAAUGCGUAGAGAUCAGGAGGAACACCAAUGGCGAAGGCAGUUUGCUGGGCAUAAUCUGACGCUGAGGAGCGAAAGCUAGGGGAGCAAACG
Molecule: ribosomal RNA, 402 nt
Filed under: uncultured bacterium
Lineage: Bacteria
Description: partial 16S ribosomal RNA
Rfam family: Bacterial small subunit ribosomal RNA
Source: RNAcentral